This is a long non-coding RNA of Engraulis encrasicolus (European anchovy), 940 nucleotides long. RefSeq lists it as uncharacterized. Lineage: Eukaryota; Metazoa; Chordata; Actinopteri; Clupeiformes; Engraulidae. The transcript has 3 exons. The record is from RefSeq and is a predicted model, not a curated record.
UGGGGUUGUUUGGUCCUGCGGUGCGUCUUCUGUCCAAGAGCGUAACCGCUUGAGUUUCUGCUGAAGUGCUGGCGUGGGCAUUCUCUCAACUUCUCCCGGCAACUGCUGUACCUAGCCUGUCCGUUUUACUGCUGUUGCCCUUGCUGCUGUCGGCGUAGGCGAUGUGCCUCGCCCAUCGGGUAGCCUGGGAUCAACAUAUGUAGGGCCGACGGCCCUUGACGCGCUGCUGUUUUUGUUCUCCUGACAACUAUUGUGGACGAGUGCGUGCGUGUGGAGAGUGUGUUAAGUGACGCGCGGUGCGCGCUUGGAACUCUCGUGUGGAGAGAGUGUUUGGUGACGCGCGUGGUUGCGCGCUGACACUCAGUGGAGUGUGUGUGAGAAUGUGAUGUGUGGGUCUUAGCUCUUUCUUUUGUUUGAUUAAUUUACGUUUGAUUUCUGUUUUGUUUCUUAUUGUAUUGGUGUAUUGUGUGUUGGCCGUGUCGGGUACACCACACACCUGUAACUGGUCAGUAGGACCACCCUACAGUAGUUUCUCACGUGCAGUGCUCAGGCCUUAUGCCGAGUGUAACUUCGUGUGCUGUGUUAAUGAUUUAUUUCCAUGCAUGCUUAUUCAACUAGAUGUGCUUGCUGUGCUAAUUGUGUGUUACAUCGUGUUAACUUGUUCUGAAGCUACUCAAUAGGGGAAACCUAAGCCAACUCAUUGUGUGGUUACCUGUCCCGCACCAAUGUACGUUUUGUUUAUUCUGUGGUCCUAAAUAACAUUGUAUUUUAUACCCCCCUGACGUAUUAAAAAGAGAAAGUAAUUGUUCCCUGUAAUCCUGUCUCUGUCGUUCCUUACGAACCUGUGUGCUUUGAUGCACUAGUGUGUAAUUCAAUUUCCAGAGGGACUUUAGCGCCCUCUGGUGGCGUAGUCGGUUCAUUGAUUAAAUAAUAUUUUUGU